CAGAGUUCAUGCCCCUCGGGGCAUGUGCACGUCUCUGCCCGUUAAUCCCAACCCACCCCUGUGAACCGACCGUGUGGGGCGCUCUGUAACGGAGCCGUCCCAUGCUUUAUCAUAAACCCUGUAUGUCAUCAGAAUGUAAAUCUAUAUCCUCGCCUUAAAACCGCGUCGGUAAAAAAAUUAAUA
This 183-nucleotide unclassified non-coding RNA is filed under the name uncultured Atheliaceae. RNAcentral describes it as "sequence contains ITS1". Lineage: Eukaryota; Fungi; Basidiomycota; Agaricomycetes; Atheliales; Atheliaceae. The record is from RNAcentral.